This 2678-nucleotide long non-coding RNA is filed under the name Nicotiana tabacum (common tobacco). Its description in RNAcentral is "long non-coding RNA (NTAB_LNC010464)". The record is from RNAcentral. Lineage: Eukaryota; Viridiplantae; Streptophyta; Magnoliopsida; Solanales; Solanaceae.
UAAAACCCGUAAGAUCCCUAAAAUCAUUAUCUCUCAAGAUUUCGUUCUUCCGAUUUCUUCUAAUAUUGUUGGAGAGAUAUGGGUAGCCGUUGGACUGAGUAUGGAUGUUCUUCCUACUGCAUAGAUGUUGCCGAAUAUUGCGUUGUUCCUAAAUCUGGUACAGGUUUGUGGGCUGAUUUUGGGUAUGUCAAAAGUUAUCCUUUUAUAUACAUUCUAUAAUGAUUUAUCUAGUUAUUUUUUAAUGUUUGGGUCGAUUCUUCUCCAAAAUUUACAACAGAUCUAGCUAGAGGGCUUGAACUCCAGAAAUAUUUUGGGAUUCCUCAGUAAACUUUGUCCAGUGAAAUAAAUUUCUUCUCAUUAUUGGCAACGAGGUAGUGAUUUCAUUCCAAGAUAUGUUUUAUGGCUUUACAGUUUGAUUACAAAGUUUUAUUUUUUGAUUGUUAAAUUAAAAAGUUUUGUUUGUUUGCUUGUUUUAUUCUUUUUCGCUCUUUAUUGUCAAUGUACAAAUACCAUAUGAGUUGUGACAUAUUAUCACACCUGACGUCUUAGUGAAUCCAAAUGUAAUGAUAAGGAUACUUUUCAUGAAUUUGAAUUUUAAAUGCCAAUAUCAGUUUAUGACAUAAUAAUUUGGGAAAGGUCUCUGGAGGAUAUUUUUUUACUUUUUACGGUGUUAAAUGUGAUGGGCACUAGUAAAGCGAGAAGAUAAAAGAAUAUUAUAUAAUUUAUGUAGUGAAAGAAUGGUGUUAAUAAUUAAUUUAGGAGUUUUGAACUUCAAAUCUUGUAUCAGGAAUGAGAUUAUUUUUCAGUGGCAAUAAAAGGAUGUAGCACAGUAUUUAAAAUUUAUCCUGUUCAUUUGAUUGUUCAUAUGUCUAAGUAGUUGAGUAGUCAGCAGAGUUAGAGGGUCCCUUAAUGAGUUAUGGUUUCUUUUUUUUUUCUUCAUAAAAAUAAUGUACUAUAUUUUGUUCUAAUUGUGAGGUUUAUGUUUGAUCAGUUGAUUAAGAUAUUCUUUGCGUUUGGCCACGAUACUCCCUUUGAGUUAACUUGUACCUAUUUUCUCAUCUUAGAUUUAACAUUUGCAUUAUCCCAGGCAUUUUUAUAAGCUUCUAUACAUAGAGAUGUAUAAUAUUCUUGUGAAGGAAAUCUCAUUGCUGCUAAGUUAUGUAGAAACUCUUAGUUUCACCAUUCUUUCCUUGGGUCGUGUAUGUAUGUGUUUGGUGUAUCUCUAGCUAUUUUCUUAGCUGCUAAUGAAAUCAUGAUCUUGGUUGUUAAUAUAUUUUUCGAUGUCAGUUGCUACAUUUCAGGAUUAGCUAUUGUUAUUCUUCAUCUUGUUCGACUUUUUUGACUUCUUGGGGAAUAUUAGGAGCAAACAUAUGAGUAUGUAGUUAAAUUAGGCUGAGCAACUGUACCUUUUUUCCCCAAAAUAAUAUCAUUAAAGUGGAGAAUACUGUUAUUUGUCAUGACUUGAGUGAUAUUAAAGUUUGUGAAUAAGCUAUAUACCUUAGUUAUCAUAAAUGAGUAGUUGGAAAGUGAAGUAUUUGAGCAGUGCUAGAAAAGAAAUACUUUUGUCUGUUUGAGCUCCUAUGUCAUUGUUUAGAAUGUUUUGAUUUCAUUUACAUGAUUUUCUAUGUAAGGAAAUUACUUCCUUGAAUGUUCUGAACAUGCUGCUUUAAAAGAUACUAAAUAUGUGGCUAAUUCUUGGUAAGUUAAAUGUGCUAUUGCUGGAGAAAUGGACAAUUUGGACAUUGCAGGUACUUAUAUGUUAUUCUGAUGUCCUUAAGAUGCUAUAGCUGAAAAUAUUGUGGCCACAAUAAUAGUUGAACUAGAACUCACUACUACCUUAUUUCAUCUGAGUACAAUGGAGUAUUCUAUCCAAAUGGACAGUUGUAUAGGCUAAUGUGGUGUUAAUAUGUGCAGGUACAAGGUGAAGGACCAAGUACAUUCAAAUAGCAAGAAGUUGAACACAAAGUGCAAAAAUUUCCCACCUUAUUGAAGAUAUGAAAAAUAUCGUCAACAAUAAUUUUUCCACUAGCAGAAAUUUGCUUCCUUAGAGGCUGUACAGAGUUUAACAACUGCACCCAAGAGGUACUAAGCUAAAUAUUAGGGUGAGUUUGAAAAUUAAUGUAGUUGAAGACUAGCAGCUUGAUGGUGUUUAGCUUUAGUUUGUUGCAGUUGUGCACUGUUUUAGACACUGCUGUAGAGAUGCAAUCUCCAUUGAGUUCAACGGCUUGACGUACUCAGUUUUAACAAAAGUUGAUAUUAAUACCAAGUGAAGUUGUCAGCGCGUAUUGGAUGCAGAAAUAAAGAUUUGUUGAAUAUGAAAUCAAGACAGUUUCAUGGUAGAAAAAAAGAUUUGGCUGAAGGGGAUCAAACCACAACAACACGGGCCUCUUACAUCAGACAUUACAAAAGUUGUCCAAUUCUUUUUCCUUGCUGCUACAGAACUGAGUUAUUCCUUUACAGUUAGUUGUCGGUUGAUCUAAUUUUUGCCUUCAAAGUGAUUUUUCCAACUUAUAUUAGUUGAAUUACUCAUUGGAGUGUAUUAGACAGACUGGUAUCGCGAGAAUAUUUAGAUGGUUAUACUAUAUAAAGUCUAAAUUCAGAAAUAUGUAGGAGGUAAGGUAUAUGUCCCCCUCCUUGUAUUUGACAUGUUAAUGAAAUCUACAUUAAGGUCUCGAUGA